CAGCCGCCACGGUAAUACGUAGGGUGCGAGCGUUAAUCGGAAUUACUGGGCGUAAAGCGUGCGCAGGCGGUUUUGUAAGACAGGCGUGAAAUCCCCGGGCUCAACCUGGGAAUGGCGCUUGUGACUGCAAAGCUAGAGUGCGGCAGAGGGGGAUGGAAUUCCGCGUGUAGCAGUGAAAUGCGUAGAUAUGCGGAGGAACACCGAUGGCGGAGGCAAUCCCCUGGGCCUGCACUGACGCACAUGCACGAAAGCGUGGGGAGCAAACAGGAUUAGAUACCCGAGUAGUCCCUGUCUCUUAUAC
This 301-nucleotide ribosomal RNA is filed under the name uncultured bacterium. RNAcentral describes it as "partial 16S ribosomal RNA". It matches the Rfam family "Bacterial small subunit ribosomal RNA", at positions 509 to 807 of the family's 1533-position model. The record is from RNAcentral.